This 46-nucleotide non-coding RNA is filed under the name Schistosoma mattheei. The record is from RNAcentral. Lineage: Eukaryota; Metazoa; Platyhelminthes; Trematoda; Strigeidida; Schistosomatidae.
GCACUGCUGAAGAGUCUCAUACUAAGACGAAACGGCAGUCCAGUAC